CACAGGGCUUGUCUACAGUGCCCAGCCCAGCCCAGCACCCCUCACCCUCCCCGGGGGAGCCAGCAGGAGCUGGUGGUGGUGGCAAACCCAGGGCUCACACCCUGGCACGCUCAUCUCCUCUGCUCUUCAUGCCUUGAGCACAGCCAUGGGGAAAUGGGACUACAGGAGGCAGCAUCAUUCACCUGACCAAUCAACCCUGUUUAGGAAGAUCCAAAGUGCAGAAACUGGAGAAUGUUCCAGAGAACACCUGCUGCAAUGGCUGAGGUCACGAUUUCCAGCCCAGCAAGAAGAUAAAACUGCUGCCAGAGCCCAUGGCCAGACCUGCUUUGUGCAGAACCACACCACCUCAGCCUCUCUGCCAAGAAACUGGGGAAUUUUCCAGUUGCCAUUCUCCUCCUGGGAGGCAGAAAGUGGGGGAGUAAAGCUUACAUACCUUCAUGAAGAUCUGAGAGGCAUCAGGAGGGUUUUCAUGAGAAACUGGAUGGAAGCAAAUGCUAUCAGAGUCCAAAUGUCCCAUUAAUUAUACCAGAAUCUCAUUCUGGGGAGAAGGGAAGUCCCAGCAGUCCUGCAACAGCCUUCUCAGACAAUGACUGAAAAAAAUGUUGCAGUUACUCAUUUUGAAAUGAGUUUUUGUAAGGGUUAGAUUUUUCUUGCAUGACAACACAUUGUGGGUACACAAUUAAAAAAUGAAGCCAUGACCAGUCAGAAACAAUCAUUCCUCCCUUUUUCAGUUAGAGUAAACUCUGAAAUCUGCCUGUUUUUUUUUUUUUUUUUACAUAACUGUAAUUAUAGUGCAGAACUCCAGAAGCCUUUGCAACAUAAACAUCCACAGGUUCUUCCUGGGCAGCCCCCUGAUAUCAGUGAGUCACUGCAGCCCCCACAGCUCCAGGUGGAGGGCACACAUCCCUCCUCCAGCCUGUUUCCCAGCAUGGGAAACGCUGCUCACAGCUCCUGGAAACCAGGCAGCAAAUGCUUAAUGUAAGUUUUGAGAUUCAACCAAGCUGGGCUGUGCCUUUCCACAGCAAACUCAGAGCAUCACAAAGUGAGGUGCAGGGUAAAAUCCCAGAGAAAUUCUCCUGAGUCAUUUUUCUUCCUCUGUGGGUUUGGGACUUGUUUGGGUGGACCCUAUCAGGCUAGAGCCACGUGUACCCCUCCUCCU
This 1159-nucleotide long non-coding RNA is filed under the name Serinus canaria (Common canary). RNAcentral's name for it is "lncRNA (ENSSCAG00000015385.1)". Lineage: Eukaryota; Metazoa; Chordata; Aves; Passeriformes; Fringillidae. The record is from RNAcentral.